Molecule: ribosomal RNA, 1512 nt
Filed under: Ruminococcus bicirculans (ex Wegman et al. 2014)
Lineage: Bacteria; Bacillati; Bacillota; Clostridia; Eubacteriales; Oscillospiraceae
Description: bacterial SSU rRNA
Rfam family: Bacterial small subunit ribosomal RNA
Source: RNAcentral
UUAAUUAAGAGUUUGAUCCUGGCUCAGGACGAACGCUGGCGGCACGCUUAACACAUGCAAGUCGAACGAGAGAAGAGAAGCUUGCUUUUCUGAUCUAGUGGCGGACGGGUGAGUAACACGUGAGCAAUCUGCCUUUCAGAGGGGGAUACCGAUUGGAAACGAUCGUUAAUACCGCAUAACAUAAUUGAACCGCAUGAUUUGAUUAUCAAAGAUUUAUCGCUGAAAGAUGAGCUCGCGUCUGAUUAGCUAGUUGGUAAGGUAACGGCUUACCAAGGCGACGAUCAGUAGCCGGACUGAGAGGUUGAUCGGCCACAUUGGGACUGAGACACGGCCCAGACUCCUACGGGAGGCAGCAGUGGGGAAUAUUGCACAAUGGAGGAAACUCUGAUGCAGCGAUGCCGCGUGAGGGAAGAAGGUUUUAGGAUUGUAAACCUCUGUCUUCAGGGACGAAAAAAGACGGUACCUGAGGAGGAAGCUCCGGCUAACUACGUGCCAGCAGCCGCGGUAAUACGUAGGGAGCGAGCGUUGUCCGGAAUUACUGGGUGUAAAGGGAGCGUAGGCGGGAUCGCAAGUCAGAUGUGAAAACUAUGGGCUUAACCCAUAAACUGCAUUUGAAACUGUGGUUCUUGAGUGAAGUAGAGGUAAGCGGAAUUCCUAGUGUAGCGGUGAAAUGCGUAGAUAUUAGGAGGAACAUCAGUGGCGAAGGCGGCUUACUGGGCUUUAACUGACGCUGAGGCUCGAAAGCGUGGGGAGCAAACAGGAUUAGAUACCCUGGUAGUCCACGCCGUAAACGAUGAUUACUAGGUGUGGGGGGACUGACCCCUUCCGUGCCGCAGCAAACGCAAUAAGUAAUCCACCUGGGGAGUACGACCGCAAGGUUGAAACUCAAAGGAAUUGACGGGGGCCCGCACAAGCAGUGGAGUAUGUGGAUUAAUUCGAAGCAACGCGAAGAACCUUACCAGGUCUUGACAUCGUAUGCAUACCUCAGAGAUGAGUGAAAUCUCUUCGGAGACAUAUAGACAGGUGGUGCAUGGUUGUCGUCAGCUCGUGUCGUGAGAUGUUGGGUUAAGUCCCGCAACGAGCGCAACCCUUACUGUUAGUUGCUACGCAAGAGCACUCUAGCAGGACUGCCGUUGACAAAACGGAGGAAGGUGGGGAUGACGUCAAAUCAUCAUGCCCCUUAUGACCUGGGCCUCACACGUACUACAAUGGCUGUUAACAGAGGGAUGCAAAGCCGCGAGGUGGAGCGAACCCCUAAAAGCAGUCUUAGUUCGGAUUGUAGGCUGCAACCCGCCUACAUGAAGUCGGAAUUGCUAGUAAUCGCAGAUCAGCAUGCUGCGGUGAAUACGUUCCCGGGCCUUGUACACACCGCCCGUCACGCCAUGGGAGUCGGUAACACCCGAAGCCUGUAGUCUAACCGCAAGGAGGACGCAGUCGAAGGUGGGAUUGAUGACUGGGGUGAAGUCGUAACAAGGUAGCCGUAUCGGAAGGUGCGGCUGGAUCACCUCCUUU